Molecule: ribosomal RNA, 460 nt
Filed under: uncultured bacterium
Lineage: Bacteria
Description: partial 16S ribosomal RNA
Rfam family: Bacterial small subunit ribosomal RNA
Source: RNAcentral
CCUACGGGUGGCAGCAGUGAGGAAUAUUGGUCAAUGGACGAGAGUCUGAACCAGCAACGUCGCGUGAAGGAUGACUGCCCUAUGGGCUGUAAACUUCUUUUAUAUGGGAAUAAAAUGUUCCACGUGUGGGUUUUUGUAUGUACCAUAUGCAUACGGAUCGGCUAACUCCGUGCCAGCCGCGGCGGUAAUACGGAGGAUCCGAGCGUUAUCCGGAUUUAUUGGGUUUAAAGGGAGCGUAGGUGGAUUGUUAAGUCAGUUGUGAAAGUUUGCGGCUCAACCGUACAAGUGCAGUUGAAACUGGCAGUCUUGAGUACAGUAGAGGUGGGCGGAAUUCGAGGUGUAGCGGUGAAAUGCUUAGAUAUAACGAAGAACUCCGAUUGCGAAAGCAGCUCACUGGACUGCAACUGACACUGAGGCUCGAAAGUGUGGGUAUCAAGCAGGAUUAGAUACCCUAGUAGUC